UGAGGAAUAUUGGUCAAUGGGCGCAAGCCUGAACCAGCCAUCCCGCGUGCAGGAAGACGGCGCUAUGCGUUGUAAACUGCUUUUCUGGAGGAAGAAACGCCGCGACGUGUCGUGGUUUGACAGUACUUCAGGAAUAAGCAUCGGCUAACUCCGUGCCAGCAGCCGCGGUAAUACGGAGGAUGCGAGCGUUAUCCGGAUUCAUUGGGUUUAAAGGGUGCGUAGGCGGACUUAUAAGUCAGUGGUGAAAUCCUGCAGCUUAACUGUAGCACUGCCAUUGAUACUGUUAGUCUUGAGUUUGGUUAAGGUAGGCGGAAUGUGUAAUGUAGCGGUGAAAUGCUUAGAUAUUACCCAGAACACCAAUUGCGAAGGCAGCUUACUGGACCGAUACUGACGCUGAUGCACGAAAGCGUGGGGAGCGAACA
RNAcentral lists this ribosomal RNA (422 nucleotides) under uncultured prokaryote. RNAcentral's name for it is "bacterial SSU rRNA". It matches the Rfam family "Bacterial small subunit ribosomal RNA", at positions 355 to 774 of the family's 1533-position model. The record is from RNAcentral.